AACACGCUGGAGCCCGCCAGGGGCGGAAACGUCACUGGUGGGUAACAUCCGCCGUCCUUUGUAUAAUUUACCUUUGUUGCUUUGGCAGGCCGCCCUCGGGCCAGCGGCUUCGGCUGUUGAGUGCCCGCCAGAGGACCACAACUCUUGUUUUUAGUGAUGUCUGAGUACUAUAUAAUAGUUA
Molecule: unclassified non-coding RNA, 181 nt
Filed under: uncultured Phialophora
Lineage: Eukaryota; Fungi; Ascomycota; Leotiomycetes
Description: sequence contains ITS1
Source: RNAcentral